This 253-nucleotide ribosomal RNA is filed under the name uncultured bacterium. RNAcentral's name for it is "partial 16S ribosomal RNA". It matches the Rfam family "Bacterial small subunit ribosomal RNA", at positions 524 to 776 of the family's 1533-position model. The record is from RNAcentral.
UACAGAGGGUGCUAGCGUUGUUCGGAAUCAUUGGGCGUAAAGGGCGUGUAGGCGGUUUGUUAAGUCAGGCGUGAAAGCCCCGGGCUUAACUCGGGAACUGCGCUUGAUACUGUCGAGCUAGAGUGUGGAAGGGGCGAUUGGAAUUCCGUGUGUAGCGGUGAAAUGCGUAGAUAUACGGAGGAACACCAGAGGCGAAGGCGGAUCGCUGGGCCAACACUGACGCUGAUGUGCGAAAGCUAGGGGAGCAAACGGG